This 253-nucleotide ribosomal RNA is filed under the name uncultured Dehalobacterium sp. Its description in RNAcentral is "partial 16S ribosomal RNA". It matches the Rfam family "Bacterial small subunit ribosomal RNA", at positions 524 to 776 of the family's 1533-position model. Lineage: Bacteria; Bacillati; Bacillota; Clostridia; Eubacteriales; Peptococcaceae. The record is from RNAcentral.
UACGUAGGGAGCAAGCGUUGUCCGGAAUUACUGGGCGUAAAGGGCGCGUAGGCGGGAUUUUAAGUCAGGUGUGAAAACUCUAGGCUCAACUUAGAGACUGCACUUGAAACUGAAAUUCUUGAGGACAGGAGAGGAAAGUGGAAUUCCUAGUGUAGCGGUGAAAUGCGUAGAUAUUAGGAGGAACACCAGUGGCGAAGGCGACUUUCUGGACUGUAACUGACGCUGAGGCGCGAAAGCGUGGGGAGUGAACGGG